GAUGAAGAACGCAGCGAAAUGCGAUAAGUAAUGUGAAUUGCAGAAUUCAGUGAAUCAUCGAAUCUUUGAACGCACAUUGCGCCCGCCAGUAUUCUGGCGGGCAUGCCUGUUCGAGCAUCAUUUCAACCAUCAAGCCCCAGGCUUGUGUUGGAGCCCUGCGGCUGCCGCAGCCUCCCAAAACCAGUGGCGGGCUCGCUAUCACACCGAGUGCAGUAGUUUACUCUUCGCUCAGGGCGUGUGGCGGGUGCUAGCCGUAAAACCCCCAACUUCUCAAGGUUGACCUCGGAUCAGGUAGGAAUACCCGCUGAACUUAAGCAUAUCAAUAAGCGGAGGA
This 334-nucleotide unclassified non-coding RNA is filed under the name soil metagenome. RNAcentral describes it as "partial contains 5.8S ribosomal RNA, internal transcribed spacer 2, and large subunit ribosomal RNA". The stretch from base 1 to 120 matches the Rfam family "5.8S ribosomal RNA", at positions 35 to 154 of the family's 154-position model. The record is from RNAcentral.